UAAAACAAGAAAUCCAGUUGCAUAACAACAAAGGGAUCUACUAUAAUCAUGAAAAUAUAACUGUGGAUAGUUCAGGUUUAAGGAGAACUCCUGCUAGUCUACAAUGACUUGAAACAAUUCUCAACCACAAGGAGAUAGAAACCAUCAACUAUCUAUACCUAAAUGCUUAUGACAAGACCCAAACUAAACUUAAAGGCCUCAUCAGAUAAGGCGAAAAGGAAAAAAAAAAUGUCUGUAUAUAAGGUAAACAGCAACAUGCAAGAUCUAUCUCUGUAACGAACAUCCACUGGACUGCUUGAGUGAAUCAUCAGCUAGCAAGCUCGGAUAAUCUCAAUCUGUAAAUCCACACUGAGCAGUUCUUUUAAUCAUGAAAAUCACAUCCGAGCAGUCCCACUUCCGAGAGUGAGCUCCAGAUCAUCUAAACCAACCUCAUGAAUCUUUUCACCUUCCCAUGCUGCCUUAACUGAUACAUUCUCAAAGUCAAAUUCAAUGCUCUUACCCUUGUCGAUGAUCAUAUCAUUAGAAGGAAUUCUCUGAGCUACAGGCUUAAUAAGAUUAAAAGUCGGAGAAGUAGGGAUCCCAUUGGCUGCGUACUUUUGAAAGCUCAUCCACUGGCCAGAAUCAAUGGUGGAUGAAUCAGAUUCGUCACACUCUGGUAUUGUAGCAGGAGUGAAUCGCUGACCUCGAGUUGGGCUAGUUGGGGCUGAAGCAGCAAAGAAAGG
RNAcentral lists this unclassified non-coding RNA (722 nucleotides) under Hevea brasiliensis (rubber tree). Lineage: Eukaryota; Viridiplantae; Streptophyta; Magnoliopsida; Malpighiales; Euphorbiaceae. The record is from RNAcentral.